CCCUUAGAUGUUCUGGGCCGCACGCGCGCUACACUGAUGCAUUCAACGAGCCUAUCCUUGACCGACAGGUCCGGGUAAUCUUUGAAUCUGCAUCGUGACGGGGAUAGAUUAUUGCAAUUAUUAAUCUUCAACGAGGAAUGCCUAGUAGGCGCAAGUCAUCAGCGUGCGUCGAUUACGUCCCUGCCCUUUGUACACACCGCCCGUCGCUCCUACCGAUUGGGUGUGCUGGUGAAAUGUUCGGAUCGGCCGUUUGUCGCGGUUUCCGCGUCAUGUGGCUGAGAAGUUCAUUAAACCCUCCCACCUAGAGGAAGGAGAAGUCGUAACA
RNAcentral lists this ribosomal RNA (325 nucleotides) under uncultured eukaryote. RNAcentral describes it as "partial 18S ribosomal RNA". It matches the Rfam family "Eukaryotic small subunit ribosomal RNA", at positions 1470 to 1796 of the family's 1831-position model. The record is from RNAcentral.